RNAcentral lists this long non-coding RNA (230 nucleotides) under Dermacentor andersoni. RNAcentral describes it as "uncharacterized LOC126535432". The record is from RNAcentral. Lineage: Eukaryota; Metazoa; Arthropoda; Arachnida; Ixodida; Ixodidae.
UGAAAUAGUAAUGGGGUUCUUCCUUUUGGAAUUUUUUCUUUAGAGGUAGCCCGAGCCACAGCAGAAAGGCUCGAUGGUCAAGUCAUCGCAGAGUAUUUGAUGCCCUGCUCUUUGGAUGCAGGCACUGGGCUACCCAAGGAAAUGGUGCCAGAGAGGGCAAAUGAUGCAGGCAUUGAUGCCUUUGACAUGCCCGACAUUGAUGCCUUUGACAUGCCCUGUAGUGAGCAGGA